Xiphophorus hellerii (green swordtail) is the source of this 808-nucleotide long non-coding RNA. RefSeq lists it as uncharacterized. The record is from RefSeq and is a predicted model, not a curated record. The transcript has 3 exons. Lineage: Eukaryota; Metazoa; Chordata; Actinopteri; Cyprinodontiformes; Poeciliidae.
UUUUUCCUUGGAGAACCAUAAUGGAGGGAAAUUCACUCAAGGCGAAUUCAGUUGGAUUUGUAAGGUCACUGUCAAUCCAUGUUAUUUCUCCAAUGCUGUAGCUGUGAGUAACGGUUCCUGUGCAGAGAACAUUUCCUGAGGUGCUGGCUCCUGUUUUGAAUUCAGAUGGACAUUCUGAUUCAUUCUGCAGUGGUCGGAGGCAGGGAGACUGUGAAAGGAAGAGUCCUUUUUCUACUGAAGUGCCAAGCUGAGCCAUGCCAGAAUUCUUCAGAACAGAAAUGUCAGGUAAAACAAAUGGUACUUCCCUGGUCAUUCCUUUGUUUAGGUGGCAGUAUUGUGAAGAGCAGUGUUUUGAGAGGUAAACGCUUGAUACAUUUCUCAUUGUCUUCCCAAUAACAGUGGCAAUAUUGCACUGGGCAUCGAUUUGGUUGGUGCCAGACCUCAACUGUGUUUUUGCAAACAUUGAACUAAGCAGAUCUGCCCUCUGCAAGUAUGUCUUUGGGGUCACACCAUCUGUAGUUAUGGAUUUCACCAGCUGCAAGAGUGUGUUAUCACUGUCAUUCAUGACAACAUUUUGAAAUGCAGAGCUGUCACAGAAAGUACAGCAUAAGCACUGACAAAAGGCAUCAAAGGAACAGAUGAUGAAUCUGCAUGGAGCCAUUCAGUGCAGGAACUCGGAGCAAAUCCGCAUAUUUCCUUCGAUGAAGGAAAGAUGCCGAGAAACGAAGCGAUCGACUCGCAUGGGUAAGUUCUCAUGUUUGAACAGACCAUGUUUUACAUUUUUGAAUUCAGCUUCAACAUUGGAUGA